UCAGGGCCGUAACUAGCCUCUUAUAAUAUUGAGGCAAAAUAUAUUCGCCGAGCGUAGCGAGGUGAAAAAAAAUCUGCGUUGGGUCUCGGGGCCGCUUAAGGCCCCCAGAAGCUCUGAGAAAAAUAACGCAAGAUCGUACAUUCUGAGCGUUUCCCGGACUCUUUCUUACAUUGAAACGUAAUUAAUUUUAAGCUAUUUCUUUUGACAAUAUUCUUGUCUUAAAGCAAAAACUCAUUGUAAUUUAAGACUUUCAGGUUUUACGGGGACAACAUUAAAAGUAGACCGGCCGAUAUGUAGAAUAAAGCAAAAACCGAAAUUCUCAUAAUCAUUAUGUCUGUCUGUUCUUGUCUUGUCUUGUAUUGUGCUUAAUUCAGACUUUGGUGAUUUUUUUAUGGCUAGAUUGAAAUAGAGUGACAGUGCAGUAUUAUAUUUUAAGUACUAGUACUGCUUAAGUCGACACUAAGGACCAUCUUGACCUUGUUUUAUGGUAUUAAUGAUUCUUUUAUUGUUGAAGACCCUCCAUCAUCUAUCAAGAUGAAGAAUAGGGGGAAAAAACUUUGGCCAUUGAUCAUUUGUAUUUUUUCUAUGCAUUGACUUCGUGUGAGAUAAGGUCCUGUGCACGUUUACUCCAUAUUCUUUUUUUCUGUUUAAGAGUCUAAACACGACUUCAUGCAAGUUUAAUCCUUCA
RNAcentral lists this long non-coding RNA (688 nucleotides) under Mytilus galloprovincialis (Mediterranean mussel). The record is from RNAcentral. Lineage: Eukaryota; Metazoa; Mollusca; Bivalvia; Mytilida; Mytilidae.